GUCAGUCUCGCCGGGCGCUCCUUCCCUGCGCCCCUGUCUGGAAAAGAGGAGACCUGGAAGCCGGGUUAAACUUUAACACGGGUCGGGCACAGAGCAGGGGGAAUCAGCUGCAUUCCCUCUGGCCAAGCUGGUCAGAGCUCUGCGGGCUGCCGUCCUUGGCCAAGAGCGUGUGGGCUAGCUCCGGUCUCUGCCCAGGCUGGUAAACAAGGGCGUGGAAAAGAUACCCCAGUCUGCGGUGACGAGGACUCCAGUGCCCGAAGUGCAGCUCGCCCAGCCCUAGCUCAGUGCCGAGCCCUUAGCGUGGACUGGGCUGGCCCCGGAAGCCCCCACGGGCUCUACCUGACCCUGCAGAGACAGGGUUUCACCAUGCUGGCCAUGCUGGUCUCGAAGUCCUGACCUCAGGUGAUCCACCUGCCUCAGCCUCUCAAAGUGCUGGGAUUACAGGUGUGAGCCACUGCGCCCAGCAGGAAUAUUCCUAAAUAUAAGAGGUAGAACACCUGAAGGAGAAGCUCAUUAGCCAGGCCCAGGAAGUGAGCCGACUGCGAUCUGAGCUGGGGGGCACCGACUUGGAGAAGCACCG
This 580-nucleotide small RNA is filed under the name Pan troglodytes (chimpanzee). RNAcentral describes it as "processed transcript". The record is from RNAcentral. Lineage: Eukaryota; Metazoa; Chordata; Mammalia; Primates; Hominidae.